This 468-nucleotide ribosomal RNA is filed under the name uncultured bacterium. RNAcentral's name for it is "partial 16S ribosomal RNA". It matches the Rfam family "Bacterial small subunit ribosomal RNA", at positions 28 to 507 of the family's 1533-position model. The record is from RNAcentral.
GACGAACGCUGGCGGCGUGCUUAACACAUGCAAGUCGAACGGAAAGGCCCUGCUUUUGUGGGGUGCUCGAGUGGCGAACGGGUGAGUAACACGUGAGUAACCUGCCCUUGACUUUGGGAUAACUUCAGGAAACUGUGGCUAAUACCGGAUAUGAGCUCCUGCUGCAUGGUGGGGGUUGGAAAGUUUCGGCGGUUGGGGAUGGACUCGCGGCUUAUCAGCUUGUUGGUGGGGUAGUGGCUUACCAAGGCUUUGACGGGUAGCCGGCCUGGGAGGGUGACCGGCAACAUUGGGACUGAGAUACGGCCCAGACUCCUACGGGAGGCAGCAGUGGGAAAUAUUGCACAAUGGGCGGAAGCCUGAUGCAGAAACGCCGCGUGCGGGAUGACGGCCUUCGGGUUGUAAACCGCUUUCGCAUGUGACGAAGCGUGAGUGACGGUAAUGGGUAAAGAAGCACCGGCUAACUACGUG